CUUGUUUGGGAACGUGCUUUUAAUGUACUCAGGGAUGGUUAUUAACAGGGUGGUAAUAUGGAAAUAGGCUAAAGAGAACAUGUUCUCUGAGAAUGGCUGCUGAUGCAUGGUAACUUUUUUUGUUCUUGAGAUGACAAAUUCAACAGGGUGAUGACAUUAUUAAGUCAGCCUUGUUGUCUGCUGGACACUGACUGGUCAGAAGACCCAAUGAAAUUGUUUAGUUAGAAUAGACAGGAAGAGUGAAUGUCUCGGUCUGCUAGGGCUGCUAUAAUACCAUAGAAUGGGGGCUUAAACAACAUUUAUUUCUCACAGUUCUGGAGUUUGGAAGACUAAGACUAACGUGCCAGUAGAUUCAGUUCUUAGCGAACACCCUUUUCCUGCUUUACAGACGGCUGCUUUCUCAUACAUCCUCAAGUGGUGGAGACAGGAACCUCUAGUAUCUCUUCCUCUCCCUAUAAAGGCACUAAUCUCACCAUGGAGGCUCCACCCUUAUGACCUCAUCUACACCUAAUUACCUUCCAAAGGCCCCACCUACUAGUACCAUCAGACAGGGUGAGGACUUGAACAUAUGAUCUAGGGGUGUGGGACACGAACAAACAGUCUUUAACAAUAGACAAGGCAGACGUCUGCAAGUGUGAUUAUGGAUAAUAGCAAAAUCAAAGGUGAUGUACAACAGUGAGAAAAAGAUCUCUUUAGAUAACUAUCAUUUUCAUUAAGCAGUAGUCCAUGAUCAAAACUAAGAUAAUGUGUUUUAAAUGAGUUGCUUGAGGAAGUUGCUCAGGGAGUAAGGGAGUCAGGGGGAAUAUUUCAGUAAGGCUGUUUGGUAAGCUAGAACACUGGACAGCACCUAAGCUUUUCAUGUUUACACAUUAGUAAACUGCGUGUCAUCUCAUAUUGGGAGGAGACCUGUCCACGUACCGGUCACCCAGCAAUCUUGGUUACGAAUGUUGCCAGCAUCAGGUAGCCAUUUUUGUCAAGCAACAGGACCUGUACUGCUGCUGAUAGAUUUGCUAGUGUUGAGGGGAGAUACUUCUCAUCCCUGAAAGGAUCAAACUCCUUGAGAGUCAGCAAUGGCUGCCAGCAGUGUGUUAAUUACAGCAGUCAAAUGGAAGACUAGAAAAUGAAAGGACCAGUCCCAGCAAUGCUUACCAUGGCCCAGGGGUCAUUUUGCUCUAAAAGCAUGUCCUGGUUUGAGGUAAAAUAUUUGAAAUGACUAAUGUAGUGGCACCACUAUGUUAGCUCUAAAAUGUGAAGGGAACAGUAACCAACCAAUUGUCUCAACUAUCACUCAUGAGUCCACGGUGACACAGUAUCCUCCAUCAGUAGUUAUCUCCUGACCUUAGUAAAUCACCUAUUGAAACUGAACGAAAUACGUACUCCAAAAAUACUACAAACAAAUCUAUCAAACUGUGUCGCUGGUUAGAUACAUCUGAAGAGGUAUAGAGCGGUGAGAGAUGCCCAAAAGAUUCAAAAGAGUUCUGAAAGGAUACCUAACAGGCACUAACACUCUGAAAUCACUAUAAUCGAAAUUCCAGGACUGAGAUCAUUUGAUGUUGAGCUACAUACAGUACUUGUGAGACCAGGUCAAUUUCUGAUUCAACUGUUUCAAGCAUGCAGUCCUUUGGAAUCCCAACCUAAAAUACAGGAUUUACUGGAGCCUCUUCAGCCACUCUUCUGGCCCUCAGUAUCUCAAAAGUGUAUCAGCUAUGACAUUGAAGUCAGGACAGUGGUUUACCUUUAAGAAAGAGGGAAGGAUACAGUUUUAUUUAUUGACCAGGGUGGUAGGCUUUUUCAAAGGCUGUUUUCAUCAAGGAUACUCUUCUAUUAAAAAAUCAUUAACGAUCCUUCACUGCCUAUAGGAGUAAAUCUGAAAUUAGUAAGGAGUACUAAAAUAUGAGCCAGGAGAUCUGGGAUCUAGUCUUACUUCUAAUGAGGGACCAUGAGAUGUCAAGGCAGCCACAUGGAAAAUGAGAGGCGCGAGAUGGAGAAUUAGUUGGCCUUCAGAUAACUACGGUACGGCACACGUUCAAAGGCAAUAUGGCAAGUGAUUGAAUAAUCCUAGACUAGGAUUCUAGUGCUGCCACUUACUAGUUGUGUGACCUUAAGCAUGUUAUUUAUCCUUUUUUAAGCCUCAGUUUCUGAUUCAGUAAGGUGGGGCUACUAAUAUUGACCUUUUUCAGGGUUAUAAGAACCAUUAAAAAUAAUAUAUGUAAAGCAUCUACCCAUAAUGUAACCCAGUAGCUGCUGAACAGAUGGUUUCUGUUACUAUAAAUCAUCCUCAUUCUACAGAUAGCAUUUCAGGACCUUUACAACCACCAAUAUAUUUUUGCAUUAUUUAAGAAUUACUACAGGUCAAAUACUGGGCUAGGAACUUUACAUACACCAUCUCAUUAUGUUUAUUAUUAAAUUCACACUUUAUUAUUAAAUAUUAUCAUUAUAAUAGCCUCAGAUUGUAUGACUUAAUCUUAUUUUAUGGAUUAAAAACUGAGGCUAAGGUUAUGUAAUUUUAUAAAGUUACAAAGUUUGUAACAGUUCACUAUAGUUUAUUACAAAGUUUGCAACUUGCAGAGUAGGAAGUUAAAUUUAAAAUUUAAAGUCAGAACCAUGAGACUCAAAGCCCGUGUCUGUGACAGCUAUGCCACGUGCUGCCUCAGAUGUGAGCUCUUCUGGCUCUAUCCUUGCCCCCUCCCCCGCCUCAGGCCCAACUUGAACUCUACCUGUUUUAUAAGUCUGUCAGUCUACCACCAACAUAGUCAUUUCAUUUUUGUCCUACUUAAUUUUUCAGUCUAGACCAUCCAUUCAGGCAUCGACAUAUUGCAACAUCACAGAAUAUGCUGUAAGUGAUUUUUUUUUUCCUGCUAAUGCUGGGUUUUUUUUUCAAUAUGAAUUUUAAAUUCCUUAAAGACAGAAGAGAUAACCUUUCCAAGUCAUAACAAACUUACCUACCUCUGGUAGAAUGAUAGAUUGUGCAUUUUCAUAGCAAGGCGCAAUGACAAUGAGUUGUGAUAAUUAAGAAAAAACUCAAAUGGUGAAAGGACACACGUCUGUGACACAAAUAGUACCUUGGUAACAGUAACAGGCAGAGAAAACACAGAUGGUACAUGGUAAUUUUCUGACUGCAGAACAGAGGGCAAUGAGCACUAACCAGAAGCUCUCUGGUCUCCCAUUCUGUCUUGCCCUAGAUUUGACAGGCUGUAGAUAUUAAAUGGCUGUGGACAAUGUAAAGAGAAAGAAAUCUAAUAGUUGCUAAGAGAUGAAAUGAUCAGUUUUGAACCUUUUAUGACCUCAACUAUUCUAUCAUUUUCACCAAGGCUCAAAUUAGAGCAACUAUAUUUUUUAGUUUGGAAUUAACUGUGAAUACAAGCGUUCACUUUCUUUCUAUAAGCAAACACACCUGGAAGAGUAGGUUGCUCAUGACAAUAAUUUCACAUUACUAAUUUAAACCUUAUUCAAUAUUGCUCACAAUGGAUGGGACCAUAUCAAGCCUAUUUCACUCUAGUCUCCAUAUCCCCUCCAGAGGUGACGAUAUAUUUCAAUACAGCAAGAUGCCUUUCAUACAUUGAGAAUAUUAUAUUAAAAAGGGCUAAAAAUAUAUUCUCCCCUUUACGUUGCCCCAAUAACACUUCUGGGAAGAAUGUGUAGUGAGGGGAGAAUAUACCUCUUGGAGAUUUCUGGUUUUACUCCUUCCUCUCUUCUUACC
Molecule: long non-coding RNA, 3700 nt
Organism: Felis catus (domestic cat)
Lineage: Eukaryota; Metazoa; Chordata; Mammalia; Carnivora; Felidae
Exons: 4
Source: RefSeq, a predicted model, not a curated record